Molecule: long non-coding RNA, 349 nt
Organism: Cervus elaphus (red deer)
Lineage: Eukaryota; Metazoa; Chordata; Mammalia; Artiodactyla; Cervidae
Exons: 3
Source: RefSeq, a predicted model, not a curated record
ACAGAACUCUCUGGAUGACUAUUAUCUGACUUACUCGGUGCUUCCUAACCUGUCAGACUCCUUCUGGCCUUAUAGGAGCACAGCCGUCUUCUCACCUGAGGACCUGGAUGUCUCUUAUGCUCGGGAUGUAACCAAAAAUCUUGCUGAUCUUGAGGAUGAGGAAAAUCAAGACAUCAUCUGUUCUAGUAUGGAGCAGCUGGUGGUAGAAGAGAAUGAAGUCCACCCGGACUCACUGGAUGAAUGUUAUCUGGCUGCUUCUAUUGGCCAUCAUCUGGAAGGCUCCUGUCAUCCUUCUAGGAGUGUCUCCUUCCCAACAGAGAAGAGAGAGGUUUUCUUGGCUCUAGAUGUA